UGUGAGCAGCCCGUCCUCCUCCUCCUCCUCCUCCUCCCCUCCCGGCCGGGCUCUGGGGCAGGAGGAUGAGGAGGGCGAGCUCAGCCCUCGCUGUCCCGUUGCCUGGGGGAUUUUACUGCCUUGCUCCCCAGCAAGGGCUGGGCGGCACUGCUCAACCAGGAGCGGCCAGGAGCCACCUCCGUGCCAGGUGUGUGCCCAGGUGUUCCAUCCCACUGCUGCUCCUCUCACCUGUCUGUGCCAGGUCUGUGCCCAGGUGUUCCAUCCCACUGCUGCUCCUCUCACCUGUCCAUGCCAGGUCUGUGCCCAGGUGUUCCAUCCCACUCUGCUCCUCUCACCUGUCCAUGCCAGGUGUGUGCCCAGGUGUCCUGUCCCACUCUGUUCCUGUCACCUGUCUGUGCUGGGUCUCUGCCAGGUGUUCCAUCCCACUCUGCUCCUCUCACCUGUCCAUGCCAGGUGUGUGCCCAGGUGUCCUGUCCCACUCUGCUCCUCUCACCUGUCCCCAGGGAUGAGGGCACGCCUUUCCUUGGCCCGGUGUGUCAGGUGAGGCUUUCCAGGGGCUCAUCCCUGCCCAGGUGCCCCAGCCCUGCCCGGGGAGGCUGCAGAGCCCCGUGCCAGGAGAGCAGGGCUGCCCGAAGCCAGGCUGGAGAGCCGUGACCAUGGCUCACCUCGCAGCAGGGACAGGGACACGGGGCCUGCUCGGGGUCCUGGGGUACAGCAUCAGCACUGCUGGGGAAUCUUCAGAACCAGCUUUGCAAGGGUGUCAUGGAAUCCCAGAAUAGCUUGGGUUGGAAGGAACCUUAAACCCCUCUCAUUCCACCAGGAACUCACCCCAUCAGUUCCCAGACCGAGUGAGCUUUUGGCAGAAGGGCAGCUCAGGGCUUGGAGCUCCCGACAUCAAUGCCGACUGCAUUUAAUAGGACCAUACAGGGAAUGCAAAGAUAGUUAUAUAAUUUCAACCGUAUUAAAGCCUCCACAACUUGCAACCUAA
Molecule: long non-coding RNA, 988 nt
Organism: Haemorhous mexicanus (house finch)
Lineage: Eukaryota; Metazoa; Chordata; Aves; Passeriformes; Fringillidae
Exons: 2
Source: RefSeq, a predicted model, not a curated record